GACGAACGCUGGCGGCGUGCUUAACACAUGCAAGUCGAACGGAAAGGCCCUGCUUUUGUGGGGUGCUCGAGUGGCGAACGGGUGAGUAACACGUGAGUAACCUGCCCUUGACUUUGGGAUAACUUCAGGAAACUGGGGCUAAUACCGGAUAGGAGCUCCUGCUGCAUGGUGGGGGUUGGAAAGUUUCGGCGGUUGGGGAUGGACUCGCGGCUUAUCAGCUUGUUGGUGGGGUAGUGGCUUACCAAGGCUUUGACGGGUAGCCGGCCUGAGAGGGUGACCGGCCACAUUGGGACUGAGAUACGGCCCAGACUCCUACGGGAGGCAGCAGUGGGGAAUAUUGCACAAUGGGCGGAAGCCUGAUGCAGCAACGCCGCGGGCGGGAUGACGGCCUUCGGGUUGUAAACCGCUUUCGCCUGUGACGAAGCUUUGUGUGACGGUAGUGGGUAAAGAAGCACCGGCUAACUACGUG
Molecule: ribosomal RNA, 469 nt
Filed under: uncultured bacterium
Lineage: Bacteria
Description: partial 16S ribosomal RNA
Rfam family: Bacterial small subunit ribosomal RNA
Source: RNAcentral